Molecule: long non-coding RNA, 12061 nt
Filed under: Populus tremula
Lineage: Eukaryota; Viridiplantae; Streptophyta; Magnoliopsida; Malpighiales; Salicaceae
Description: long non-coding RNA (PTRE_LNC000411)
Source: RNAcentral
AUUCCUCGACACGUCAAUCAAAGGAUUGUCAUUGACAGAGUUGAUUUCUCGUUCGAUCAUUUUCGUUGAUGUUCUAAUCACUUCAAUCAGAGGGCCUAGCCAUUGUGGAGAUGUUCGAAGAGCAUAUCGGUCUUGUUUAGGUUUUUGUAGAGGAUCGAUCUCAUGUAACUUCUGAGCUUCUUUAACAUAGGCGCUGCCAUCUAAAAUAUGUUCCAUGAUGGCGGCAGCUUCAAUUUGGCCAGGAUGAUGCUUCAAUUUAUGUGUCAGGUGAUCAGUAAACUCAGGUUUUCCUUGCAUGACUUCAGCAAAGAUUGCUGACAAAACUUCUGAUAGGAUUGCCAACACAUUAGCCUCAAAAAGCACCAUUGAAGCUAGACCGGAACCCACUGCAGUACCAUUCACUAGCGCUAGACCUUCUUUCGGCUGUAACUCAAAAAAGCCGCCAACAAUCCCAGCUUGUGUAAAGGCUUCAGCAGAGCUCAGGGGCUCUCCAUUGGGUCCAACUGCCUUUGAAUUAGGCCUGCCUGUCAAGAGCCCAGCAAUGUAGGACAAUGGGACAAGGUCACCAGAGGCAGUGAUUGUUCCUCUCAAUGGCAAACAUGGGGUGAUGUUGUGGUUGAGCAGCUUGGUGAUCGCUUCCAACAUCUCAAAUCUUAUGCCCGAAUAACCUUGAAGCAGGGUGUUGGUUCUGACCAACAUAGCUGCCCUGGUUGCUGAGUGAGACAAUGUAUGGCUAGACUCCGUGCCAUUCCCAAAGAUACCGGCAUUUAAGAACCUAGUGAAAUAAAAUCCCAUAAACCACAUUAGGAACAACCUUAAUUGGAAAAAAAAAUUAGUUGAGAAGUUUUUUUGGUAAUAGAAUUUUGAAUUAGUUAUUCUUGCAAGAACCUCAGCGAAGUGUAGGUGACAAUUUGUAACCAAAAAAUGUUACUAGCAGCUAGGAUAGUUUCUUGCACUCUUUCUUAAGAUUGGCAAACCAUAAUUAACGAAGUAAAUUACAAGUAAUUAAUGAUGUUUACCGUCCGGGACACUAGACUUUUUCUCUUUGAAUAUUUUUUAUUUGAUGGUUAAAUAACACAAUACGAGUCAAGUCAACUUGGAAAUAUACACAAAGUAAAACUUUUUAUUUGAAAUUCAGGCACCUAAAUGAUCUUUGAUACGUAAUUUAAAUAUAAUUAGGCCGGUUGGAAAUAUUCAACCCUUUAUAAUAGUUUAUUUCACUGCUGUAAUCUGAUCACCUACCUACCACAUCAUCUCUCUCUCUUUUUUUUUUUUUUGUCCUUGCUGGACUUCCACUUACAGCCUACCAACCUAACAAUAACAAGUUAACAAGACUUCUGAUGAAACGUGUGCGUGCUAAUUUCAGGCAUUUUCCAGGAGAGUGAAGGAGCAUAAGUUAAGGCUCACAUGCACUUGUGGUAUCUUCCUCCCUAACAAAAACUCCUCUUUUUUUUCUGUCUCUAAAAGACAUUGGUUGUUUUUUCCUGGGAAAUAUGAAUACUAACAAGCCAACAAUCCCCUAUUUAAAGUAACAAAUUAACAAUAUCAUGGAAUAAAAAAAAAACUGCUUGAUAUAUACAGUAAUAUAAAAAGCUACCUUACUAGCAGUUAAGAUACAAGUAAAGUAAAUUUUGGGAUUUGUCAUGAGUUUGAUUACCUUAUAAGCUCCUUUUGAAGCUCCCCACCUUGCUUGGUUCUUCUAUGUGAGGUUGCACCAAAACCAGUAGUAACACCAUAACUGUCUGUUCCCUUGCCCAUGCUGUCCAUGACCCAGUCACUGCUGGCCUUGACACCAGCUCGAGCCUCCUCUGACAACUCCACCAUGACACCAACGUCACGGCUAGCAAUUGCAGUUACCUGACCUAUGGUCAGGGUCUCACCUCCUAACUUGACCACAGGCUUCCUGUACUCCUCGAUCAUGCGCUUGACCUCAUCUAGGUGGCUUCCUUUUAGUGAGUCUGCCGCCAUGCCCCAGUUCAAAGGGUCAUUAGUGUUAAAUCCUGGUGAACCAUUGACAUUGCGUGAAUCUUGACAAAAUUCCAUUUUUUUCCUGUAAAGCUAUGAUCCUCUAUGCCAAAAUGGAGGAGAGACAAAAAAAGAGUGAUGGAUGGAUUGGUAUGAUCAAAGAUAAAAUGAGAGAGAAGAACGGAUGUGCGAGCACAAAGAAUAUUCUGGCGUAAAAAAUUAUAUGAGGGUUGUAUAGUAAAAAACAAAUUGAAGUUGCGAGGCUCUGAAUGUAUGUAGGAAUUUUCAGGUUACCCAAAAAUCCUGAGUUUUUUCACCAAAAUUUAGGUGCUUUAAAUAGAGAAGAAAGGAGGGGCAGGCAGGUAGAGGGUGGGUUGGGUUGGCCGAUGUGUUAGUUGAAAAGUGUACGUGGCCGUUGGAUCAUCGUUGUAUUCAAUGGGUGGGAUUGUGACACUUGGGAUGCUGUGGUAAGUAGCAUGCACUUAAGUGGGGUCGCAUAAUUGGGAGGAUUUCCUGUUCUUGUCAAAAAGAUGGAGGGUCGGGGAGAAAUGGGGUUGGUUGAGAAGUGGCACAUCAGCACUUACGUCAUGGCUCUAAUUCGUAUUAUUUAAUCAAUGAUUUUUCUGCCAUGAAAUUUAAAUCACCAUAUCUACCUAUGUUUUCCUUCCAUAAAUGGCAGAGGGAAUUAUAACGAUCGACGGUGUCUGGAUAUCAUGAACACAUCCAUGCAUAUAUUUACUUGAAAAUAGUAAAAAAUCCAUUUUUUCUCUAUUUAUCAUUGAUUUUGUUAGUCAUUUUCCUUUUAAAAAAUAAAUAGAGAUAAUUAUAUAUCAUGAGAUAUUUACGGAUUGUUUUGAAUUUCUACAGUUUCUCUUUUAUUUCUUAUAAAACUUCCCGUCAUCCUAGCUUUCAAGUUGAUGCAAGCUAUUGGACUUGGGCAUUGUUAAUUUCUAACUCGGCCUUGGUGUUAGGUAUUUUUUUUUUUAUAUCAAUUAUAUUAAGUUGUGAAUUUUCAUUGCCAGUGCAUGGUAAAUCCAAGAAUCAUGUCGGCUGGAUCAAUGCCAGGCAAAAAUAUUAUAGAAUAUUAUUUGGUGUUCCGGUUCAACCGAUCUGGAGAAUUUAUGUCAGAUAUAAUUAAGGAUAGUUAGGGUUUUUUCUUACAAGUGAAAGCCGGGACCAAGUCACUGGCUGAUAAUAGAGCCAUAAUGAAGAAAAAAAAUCAAAGAAUAAAAAAAAAACGCCUACGAAGACAACAAAGAAAAGGAUAUAUUUACAUUUGAGGGUCUAGUCCAUUGAUCAAUUGCAAGACUUGUCUUUGCGAACGUCCUAGGUUCGAACCUUAAGAGUACCAACCUGUUACCCCCGCGGUGCCUUACCUGCCUACCGGGCUUGCAGGAUGUUCAGUAGGUCCUGUGAUUAGUUGUGGUGCGCGCGCGCAAACUGUCCCGGACACCCAGGGUCAUAAAAAAAAAAAAUAUAUUUCUCAUCAAGGUUUGCCCAUAUCCUUCUCUCUUUUGAGAAGAAAAGCAGAGCAUAGGGAACCACCUUUAUUAAACCCCGCUUGCCCUAUAGUUUGAAUUCCUGCUCUAAGUAGAGUUGUAAAAAACUAGGGGAGAAUUAAUCCAUUUCUUAUCCUUUUCAUUUUAAUUCAGUCUAUUUUCGGUUAUUAAUGUGAAACUUUUCGUUUUGAAUUCUUUAUCCACAUGAUCACAAUUAAGAAAUUUAUGACAAAUCUAUUUCUUAUCCUUCACGUAACAUUUGAACUAUAGUGUUAUUAAAAUGAUAAAAUCUAUCCAAGCUAGCUGGUUGACCUGAAAACUGUCUUGGACUGGGUGUAAAAAGACCAGGCAAGAAAUGAUCUAGUCAAAUAUAAAACGUCCAAGAGCUAGUCAAAUAUGACCCGAUCAAAAUAAAAUUUAAUUUUUUUAAAAUAAAAAUAAAAUAAUAUUAUUUUUAUAAAGUUAACUAGUAACAAGAAAAGCUGGAAGCAUUCAACUCAUGGCCGGCCGUUCUUCAUUUGUAAUGUGGAGCACUUUAGCCAUUUCUUUUUCCCAGACUCCAUUGAUUACUGGACAAUUUGAAAGCCAUUUUGGUUCUUUUUUUUUUUGCAUACCUUUACAUAUGUAGUCUAUCUCUUGGACGUUUCAUGCUUAUAAUUAAGGACCUGCGCGUGGAACCUUGUACGAAUUUUUUUUUAAAUUUUUUUGCAGCGAUCCCUUUGCCUGCAUGGUCUGCACACCACUGUUUCUUAUAGAAUGCAAAUCACAAUUACAGUUUGUUUUUAAUAAAUGUAUGGUAUUUCUAUUAUUUUAAUAAUAUUUUGAAACCUCGCAUCAGAAUUCUACACAGUCCAGCAAUUGCAAACAAAAAAUAAUAAUGCAGAGAGAAGAAAAAACUUUAGCCCAUAAGCAUCCAUGGAUUCACAUUCGUGUAGCCAUUGUCAUUAUUUCAUAGGUCGCCAUCAAGCUUGCUUGCUUGCUAGCAAGAUAUAUUAAAUAGAUUUUUCGGGUAUUUGUAAGAGACACUCCUAAUCUUUAAUUAUUAUCUCCUGUGCUAAAAGAACCGGGAUAAAAAGAACAAUAAAGGUGUUGCUCCCUUUUUUGUCUUUUUCUUUGAAUCCAUCUUUUAUUUUUUUAUUGAUUUUUUUAAUUCUUUAAUAUUUAAACUUAUUCUCGUAAUUUAUUUCAAAUUAUUUCUAUUUUUAUUCAUGUUUAAUUUUAAAAAUACUUAUUUUUAUUAUUACAUAGUUAAAAUAAAAUUGUUAAAUUCAAUAGAGUUUAUGAUCUAAUUUACAGGUUUAACAAAUUAAUUUAUAAAAUUUAGAUAAAUUUAAUAUAUUAUCAUUUUAAUUUUUUAAAAAAUAUUAAUUUAAAUUUAUAUUUUAAAAAUCAAACCAUAUUUAUCCAAUAUCAUUUGGUUAAUUUUAAACACGAGCCAGUCAAAUAAUUACUGGUUAACGUUUACUUUUAGGGUUUUGAUAGGUUGGGUUCUUACAUUUCUUGUACUUGCAAAUUCCUCUUGUUCUCACCAACUUCCCAUUUUAUUUUUUAUUUUAUUGUGGUUGGUAGGGUGCUGCCAUUGAAGUCUUCUUUGCCCCCACCUCCUCCUCAUCCACUAUAAUUUUCCUAAAUAUCUCUACGUACUGAUCGAAGUUUAUUUAUCUCAAACAAUAUAAAUCGUUUUCUAAUUAAUUUGACUUUAAUGUUGAUUCUAUGACGCUAGCUGAUUAUUUAUGCCAAGUAUGGUGUGCUGUCGCAAUCCUAGUGCCAGUAAUUACAGUGCCAUCUGAUCAAUAUUAUUUAGGCUAUGUUUAUUUUUUAUUUUGAAAGUGCUUUUAAAGAUUUUUUUAAUUAUUUUUUUAAUGUUUUCAAAUUAAUUUGAUGGGCUAAUAUCAAAAAUAAUUUUUAAAAAAUAAAAAAAUCAUUAUUUUGAUAUAUUUUCUAAAAAAAAACAUAUUUAUAUGAAGAUAAAUUUAUGUAAAUAAAAUAAAUAUGCCUAUAUGGUAACAGUUUUUAAAAUAAAUUUAUAUAUAUUUUCAAAACAAGAAAUAUAUGAAAAUAAGUAUAUAUCAUAUCUCUAUUAUUUAAUUUUAUCUUUCUUCUUCAAGUGUCCUAACAAAAAACUACCAAGAGUUCAAGUAGUGUGGCUAUAGUUGAUGGCACAAUUCUUCUAACAACGUAUGAGCAUACUCCUGAUCACAAGCAAAGUACCAAGUAUAGUGUUUAUUUUUUCCACAUUAAUUUCUUGUUGUUCUUCUUCCUGUUGUUUCUUCUCAUCACUGUUGAUCAUAAACUGAGAUUUGCAGUCAACCAUUGACAAGGUUGAGUGCUUCAAACACGCGCUGUUCUCGAUGAAUAUUGUUGACAAUAUUGACCAAUUUAGCAAGUCCAAGAAUGACAAAAGCUGACAGUGAGGAUUUCGUUUUUAUUUCUUAGACGUGAGGUUCCUGGUAGAUAUCCAGCAGCCUGCAUCAAUUAAAAAAGAUACAUCAGACUAUCAGAGUGGAGAACACCACAGUGCAUAUAUUCCUUAAGAACAUGUAAAAAAAAAAGGAAAAUAGUAGCCAGGAGCUGUUGUGGCUAGACAGACGGGUCUUGUUCACCACCAACCACAGUUGUGGUUCUCAUCCAGGGAGGGUAGGUGAAGACAAUGAGAAAAUCAUAGCGAGAUCAAGCUUACAGGCUUUAAUUAAUUUGUCAAACUCUUGGAUAAGCUACAUGUGUGGUUGGUGAGAGCCUCACUCCAUGCACAUAAUAUGGUCAAAGUGAAAUUAGUCAAGCUUAUUUUUUGGUCAAUUAUUGAAUAAAAUCGUUGGAUAAGCUACAAUGUUAGAUAUUUUUAAUUUUUAAUAUUAGUAUAUUAAAAAUUAAGUUUGUCUUCUCUUUUUGGUUUACAGCCAAAAUAUUUUUCUCCUCUGAUUUUUUCUCAAAAUUCAGAAUAGAAUAAUGAUUGAGAUAAACGUGACUGGGCUGCUACUCGUAGUGGGGAGAGAAAAGAUCGAAAGUGAAGGUUGUUGAUGUGGCUGGAUGAAAAGUAUGUGGUGGUGCCGUUAAAAUUAAAAUCAAGCCACAACCCUUAAUUUGAAAUUAAAAACCCUAAUUUGAAAUGAAAAGUAUGAUAAUGGAUGAAAGUUGUAUCUCUAUGAGUGUAGGUGAAUUUGGGAAUUUUGAAUUGCUUGAUUUCGAUAUCAAAAGCUCAUAAUAUUUCUGUUUGAAUAUCUAACGUGAAAGUAGAAAAUUCUGCCGCGAAAAUACUCCUGACUCGAGUUUUGCACUAAAGACUCUAUUUCCAUCAUAAAUUUUAUUGAUUUGUUCUUAGAUCAUACUUUCAGUCAUAUAAGGAUGCUCGACAUUAUCAGUUUCUGAAUUAGAUUAGGCUACCCUUUUUGACCAACCAGAUUACUGCUAGAUUCUGUUAUCUAAAAAGAUUUUAUCUCACUUUGAAUCCUUCAUUAAAGUUAUAGUCCUAGACGUGUAGAUAAAUUUGGGCUUUUGAAUCACUUGAUUUCGAUAUCAAAAGCUCAAGAUAUUCCCGUUUGAAUAUUUAGUGUGAAAGCAGAGAUUCCAGCUGCGAAAAGGAUUUUUGCCCGAGUUCAGGGACACAAUUGCAAGAUGCUUAAAGUUUGAAGAUUAAUUGCAAGCCAAUUUAAAGCCCUUUUUUGGACCAAGGACCAAAUGGAAAAGGUGCAAAAAUAAGGAAGUUGAGUGAAGAUAAAAUUAGAAGGAAUUUUGCCGGAGGAAGAAAUUGAAGAACCACGUUUUUAUCUGUACAGCUAGCUUGAUUUUUCUUUCCUUUUAUCUGCAAUUUCCUGUUUGGUUUCCAUGUUUAUCUCGCUUGAAUGGAAAGUUGCAGACCACGUGUUUAUUGCCUCAUUACAAAGGGAGCAGCUAGUGCUUCAUGGUCCCAGCUAUGGAAGUAAAGAAAGAAGUCGCACCAUCCUCUAAAAUGCUAGAAAGAAAACAGAUAUGAUCACAAAAUCAGAAUCAAAAUAUUUUGGUUUUUUAUUUCUGCUCACCCAAGAUUACACCCUAGAGUUAAUGUAAUAUUUGUUUCCUAAAUAAAGUUGCGUUUAAGGUUAUAAGCCUCCUUUGCUGGGAGGAGAAAAAGGAUGAAAAAAAAAGAGGAGGACAGGAAAGAGGAGAGAAAAAAAGGGCGAGGAAUGAAUGGAAAAAAGAGAGAGCAGAACGCCACUGUCAAAAGAAGAUAAACAUAAAGGCAGGGGUGUGAACUCAACCAGUAUAACAUGUUUUCAUCGUCGUCUCCCUCAUCAUCUCCACAAAGAGCGUCAACAGAAGGAAAGAAAAGGAACAAAGAUCAUCAAUCGACGUGGAUUGUUUUCAUUGUCCCUAGAAGCAGUGACCACCGGCUGUGCGUCAAAGCUGCAGUAUCGUUGUCUUCAUCCAUCUCAGUUACCAGAGAGGGAGAGAAAGAAAACACAGAAAACGGGACAGAGGAGGAGAAAAAAAAGGGGAGAAAGUGCAAGGAAAAAAAAAAGAAAAAAGAAGAGAAACCAUAAACCAGCAGGGACUGCCUUCCGGUCUUCACUUUCAUUUUUUUUACAUAUAAAAUCUGCAGAACAGGGAAGAAGAAAGUGCAGAAAACCAAUGUUGAGAGAGGGAUGAAGAUUGCAGAGGUGAAAUUAAGAAGAAGAACGCCAACAGAGAAUAGGAGGAAAGAGCUAAAGCAGACAGCAGCACUAAUCGACUAGCCAGCAAGCCUUCAAACAUCAUCGUUGUCCUUUCGUUCCCAAGUCUGUUCUCUUCACCUCUCGCACCAUGCAUUUUCUUGCUAUAUGUUUGCACUAUUCAAGUGAAUUUUUAUUCACUUGAUCAGUAGCGUGGUCUCUUUGCAUGCAUUCCGCCUUGUUUAUUGAGAGGACUGCGCCUUUUUUUGUGUCCAACCGGGUCACUUGCUUGGGCAAGUGACCCUAGCGAACCUGUUGUUCUCUUUUAAAAAAAAAAAAAGAGAAAGAGAUUUAUGAAUUUCUGGCAUAUUUAUUUUAAGGUCUGAAUUUUUUUAUGUUAUAAAAAAAUAUCAAUCUUGUAUUUAGAAUACCAGGUUUUCGACGCAAUGUGACAAAUAUAUAUAUAUAUAUAUAAAAUGUUCUCUUAUAUGUUGCAUACGGUUAAUACCCUAACAUGUUUUGAACGCUUUUUUUUAUAUAAAAAAUAUUGGAAGUUUUGAAAAUGUUUUUUCACAUGAAUCUCUUAAACACAACAAAAAUUAUUUUCUUGCAUUUCUGGAUUUGACAACAUGUUUGUAAAACUCUAAAGAGUAUUGACCAAUAUUCCAAAACAAUAAAAAACAAAAAAACUUAUUUUAGGGGAAUUCAUAUAUUAUUCACCGUUAAUGUUUGGAUAAAAAAAUUCCAAAUGGAUGAAUAUCCAAAAUAUUAACGGGAAUAACUUGUUAUUAUUCACUGUUAAUAUUUGGAUAAUGAAACUCUAAGUGGUAAAUAUCCAAAAUAAUUUUAUAGGGAUAAUAAGUUAUCACACAUCCUUGAAAGAAGUCUCGAUUAUAAUCGAGGACAUUUCAAUUUUUUACUCCAUAGUUUACGAGCCGUGAGAGCAUAAAACAUUAAGGCAAAAAUAGGCUUUUAAAAUGCCUUAGAUUUCUAAAUAUUUGUCCCUCCUCCUUACAAUUUACGAGUCGCAAACUCGUGAAAUACUAAGGGAAAAAUGAGCUUUUUAAAGCACAUAGAAUCUCCUUGGAUUUCUAUCUUAAUAAAUUUAGUUUGAAUCAAACCUAGAAAAACUGAUGGGACUAGAAAACACCAACACCAUAACAAUUAUAAAGCAAACCAAACACCAAGAAACUUAUCUUAGGUAAGGCGUACUAGAGGGGUUAAUACCUUCCCUUUACGUGAUCAGUCUCUUUCCUUAGAAUCUAUGAAAGACCACUUAGGGUUCCUAGUGACCAAAAUACUAGUUGGCAAAUCCUUUACAUAAAAAACAAAAAAAAAACCUGAAAUCAAUCGUGGGUCACCACGACACCACACUCCAUCGUGAGAGUGCGACAAUAGCCACAAAACAAAUGAAAUUAUGAUGACGUUUUACAAUCCAGUCCUUUCUUUUUUUCAAAUCCCUCAACAAAAUCAAAUAACAUCCUAACAAAUGGUCUUCAAUUAACCCGUUAAAUUCUUGAAACAUUAAAUUGGGCCCCUCAAAUCAGACUUGCAAACUAAGGUCAGGACCCUUCUUGCGAUAGGAUUAUCUACUUUCACGUUUAGAUAUUCAAACAGGAAUAUCUUGAGCUCCUGAUAUCGAAAUCAAGUGAUUCAAAAUUCCAAAUUUAUCUACACGUCUAGGAUUACAACUUUGAUGAAGGAUUCGAAGUGAGAAAAAAUCGUUUUAAAGAACAGAAUCUGGUAGCAAUCUGGUUGGUCAAAAAGGGUCUCCUGAUCUAAUUCAGAAAAUUACAAUGCCAAGCAUCUCGAUAUGACAAAGAGUAUGACCUAAGAACAAAGACCAAUAAAAUUGUGACGGAAGCAGAGUCUUUAGUGCAAAACUCAUGUCAGAAUCCUUAUCGUGGCAGAAUUCUCUACUUUCACGUUAGAUAUUCAAACGGGAAUAUCAUGAGCUUUUGAUAUCGAAAUCAAGCGAUUCAAAAGCCAAAAUUCAUCUACGCAUAGAAGACUACAACUUUGAUAAAGUAUCCAAAGUGAGAUAAAAUCAUUUUGAAGAACAGAAUCUAGCUGCAAUCUGGUUGGUAAAAAAGGGUUUCCUGAUCUGAUUCAGGAAAAUAACAAUGUGGAGCAUCCAAAUCUAAUUAAGAGUCUUCCAUAAGAGCAAUGAGCCCUAGGACCCAAUAAAGGUGUAGGUCAAUUCUUCAACAUGUCAUGAGUGAUAAAAUAUAGCUAGGAUGAUCAGAUAUUAUAUGAAACCAAAUCAGAAUCAGAGCCUAAGUUGGAACAAAAAAUUGCGACAAUAGUAGAAUCAAUUUUUUUGUGUGCAAAUUCUGAGGGAUUUAUCCAACCUUAAAUAUCGUAUAAAAUAAAAUAAAAAUAAAUGAAUUUAGCAUUAUGAAGACUCAUAAUCAGUCUAAGAAACCUGAUGAUUUUUAGCAGCAAAGAGGGAGGAUAAAGAGGGCAAAAAAACAACUCAAACAGGAUUCGAAAAACAUUUAUUUCUUCUCCACUUUUAUCAAUUCGUUAACAAUCAUGCACUAAACUCUUUUAUUUGGUUCAAAAGACGUACACACCAUCUACAACACGUAAGGCCUAAAAAUGAGUAACAACAAUAGGCAUAUAGUGUGCUUGUUACGUACAAACUGACAUGGCUAAUAAGCUUUGUAAGGAAAAAAAAAGAAAGAUGAUUACAUGACAUCUAUAGCUUAGCAAAUAGGAAGAGGAGCACCAUUCCAUUCCUUCAAGCAUUCCAGCAAGGGAUCCAUCAACUUCCCUGUACAGAUAGCUGUGAAAACCUUGUCGAAAUCCUCGCCAGGCGAUUUAACCUUCUCACCUGUUAGCAAACUAGUUCCCAAUUCUUCCCUCACAAACUUAUACAGGGGGUAUGACCUGCAUUCGUUGAUCCUGUUUGGAACAGCUGGAUUUCCAUUCUCAACUUCAAGUCUAGCACUCUCAACCUCUUUAGGCAAAAGGGUCUUGAGUUCUUCCUCAAAAGAUCCGAUCUUUUGGAAAAUCGAAGUGGUUGAAUUCCUUUCCUUUUCGCCAUUCACCAAGGCAUGCUCGACUAGUACUUGCCUUAGCUUUUGCAUUAAUGGAUAGGUUGCACUACAAGGAUCGUCAAUGUACGCAAAGACAUGUUCUGUGUCAACAAUCUUUAGCAAGUCUUUUUCGCAUAAUCUUGAAGGGUGAAGCUCGCCAUUGAAGCCCAUUGUCAAGACUCUCUUGGCAACUUGGCUCACAGUGUUCUUGACUGUGUUCUUCAGGUUCUCCUCUAUAUGCCUCAAGUCAACGGCCUGGCAUAGACCAACCAAGAAAGUGGUAGACAUGAGCUUCAAUAUGUCAACAGCUUCAGCUGUUUUUCUUGAAGAAAUCAAGCCCAGGGAGUUGACAUCUUGGUUGUGUUGCUCAGCACUCUGAACAUGAUUGGUGACAGGAUUGGCAAGGAAUUGGAGCUCCGAGCAGUAAGAUGCCAUGGCAAUUUCGGCACCUUUGAACCCGUAAUCCAAGCUUGGAUUGCGGCCACCAGUGAGGUUUGAAGGCAAUCCAUUGUUGUAAAAGUCGUUAACAAGUUCAGAGAAUUGUGCGAACAUGAGUUUGCCAAUUGAUGCAAUGGCCAAACGAGUGUUGUCCAUUGAAACACCAAUAGGGGUCCCCUGGAAAUUCCCUCCUUGUAGAGCCUUACUCCUCGACACGUCAAUCAAAGGAUUGUCAUUGACAGAGUUGAUUUCUCGUUCGAUCAUUUUCGUAGAUGUUCUAAUCACUUCGAUCAGAGGGCCUAGCCAUUGUGGAGAUGUUCGAAGAGCAUACCGGUCUUGUUUAGGUUUUUGUAGAGGAUCGAUCUCAUGUAACUUCUGAGCUUCUUUAACAUAGGCGCUGCCAUCUAAAAUAUGUUCCAUGAUGGCGGCAGCUUCAAUUUGGCCAGGAUGAUGCUUCAAUUUAUGUGUCAGGUGAUCAGUAAACUCAGGUUUU